Molecule: non-coding RNA, 75 nt
Organism: Potamilus streckersoni
Lineage: Eukaryota; Metazoa; Mollusca; Bivalvia; Unionida; Unionidae
Source: the annotation of a GenBank genome assembly
CGCUUCGGUAGCCUAAUUGGUUAGAGCGUUUGCCUCGAAAGCUGGAGGUCGUGGAUUUGAUCCCCGGCCAAGUUA